GACGAACGCUGGCGGCGUGGAUUAGGCAUGCAAGUCGAACGGUAGGAUACCUUCGGGUAUCUGAGAGUGGCGAACGGGUGAGUAACACGUAGGUGAUCUACCCUCAAGAUUGGGACAACCCAGGGAAACUUGGGCUAAUACCGGAUGAAAGCAGCAGUGAUGUUGUUUGAAAGGUGGCGUAAGCUGCCGUUUGGGGAUGAGCCUGCGCUCUAUUAGUUAGUUGGCGGGUAAAGGCCCACCAAGGCGAUGAUAGAUAGGCGGCCUUAACGGGUGGUCGCCCACACUGGGAUUGAGAUACGGCCCAGACUCCUACGGGAGGCAGCAGUCGAGAAUAGUCUACAAUGGCCGAAAGGCUGAUAGUGCGACGCCGCGUGAACGAAGAAGCCCUUCGGGGUGUAAAGUUCUUUUAUAUGUGAGCAGUGCUUUCUAUGUGAACAGCAUGGGGAGAGAGAUAUUAGCAUAUGAAUAAGCAACGGCUAACUCCGUG
RNAcentral lists this ribosomal RNA (487 nucleotides) under uncultured bacterium. Its description in RNAcentral is "bacterial SSU rRNA". It matches the Rfam family "Bacterial small subunit ribosomal RNA", at positions 28 to 507 of the family's 1533-position model. The record is from RNAcentral.